GGUUUGAAUAUUAAAACUCCGGUGGUAUAAGAUGGGCAUGCGUAGCAUUAGUUUGUUGGUGAGGUAACGGCUCACCAAGACUAUGACGCUUAGGGGGUCUGAGAGGAUAGUCCCCCACACUGGUACUGAGACACGGACCAGACUCCUACGGGAGGCAGCAGUGAGGAAUAUUGGUCAAUGGGCGAAAGCCUGAACCAGCCAUGUCGCGUGCAGGAUGACGGCCCUAUGGGUUGUAAACUGUUUUUUUACAGGAAUAAUUGCAGAUACGUGUAUUUGUUUGAAUGUACUGUAUGAAUAAGGAUCGGCUAACUCCGUGCCAGAAGCCGCGGUAAUACGGAGGAUUCGAGCGUUAUCCGGAUUUAUUGGGUUUAAAGGGUCCGUAGGCGGUUCUUUAAGUCAGUGGUGAAAUCCCAGAGCUCAACUCUGGAACUGCCAUUGAAACUGAAGAACUUGAAUAUGGUUGAGGCAGGCGGAAUACGUUAUGUAGCGGUGAAAUGCAUAGAUAUAACGUAGAACACCAAUUGCGAAGGCAGCUUACUAAACCAUUAUUGACGCUGAUGGACGAAAGCGUGGGGAGCGAACAGGAUUAGAUACCCUGGUAGUCCACGCCGUAAACGAUGAUUACUCGUUGUGCACAAUACACCGUGCGUGACUGAGCGAAAGCAUUAAGUAAUCCACCUGGGGAGUACGUUCGCAAGAAUGAAACUCAAAGGAAUUGACGGGGGCCCGCACAAGCGGAGGAACAUGUGGUUUAAUUCGAUGAUACGCGAGGAACCUUACCUGGACUUAAAUGUAGAUUGACCGGUUUAGAAAUAGAUCUUUCCUUCGGGACAAUUUACAAGGUGCUGCAUGGUUGUCGUCAGCUCGUGCCGUGAGGUGUCGGGUUAAGUCCCAUAACGAGCGCAACCCCUAUCGUUAGUUGCUAGCAGGUAAUGCUGAGGACUCUAGCGAGACUGCCACCGUAAGGUGAGAGGAAGGUGGGGAUGACGUCAAAUCAGCACGGCCCUUACGUCCAGGGCUACACACGUGUUACAAUGGCCAGUACAAAGGGCAGCUACCAGGUGACUGGAUGCUAAUCUCAAAAGCUGGUCUCAGUUCGGAUCGGAGUCUGCAACUCGACUCCGUGAAGUUGGAUUCGCUAGUAAUCGUAUAUCAGCAAUGAUACGGUGAAUACGUUCCCGGGCCUUGUACACACCGCCCGUCAAGCCAUGGAAGCCGAGGGUGCCUGAAGUACGUUACCGCAAGGAGCGUCCUAGGGUAAAAUUGGUAACU
RNAcentral lists this ribosomal RNA (1272 nucleotides) under metagenome. RNAcentral's name for it is "bacterial SSU rRNA". It matches the Rfam family "Bacterial small subunit ribosomal RNA", at positions 191 to 1476 of the family's 1533-position model. The record is from RNAcentral.